CGAAAGCCUGACGGAGCAACGCCGCGUGUGGGAAGAAGGCCUUUGGGCUGUCAACCACUUUUCUCAGGGAAGAAGUUCUGACGGUACCUGAGGAAUCAGCCUCGGCUAACUCCGUGCCAGCAGCCGCGGUAAUACGGAGGAGGCAAGCGUUAUUCGGAAUUAUUGGGCGUAAAGCGUCCGCAGGUGGCGAUUCAAGUCUGCUGUCAAAGCACGGGGCUUAACUCCGUUAAGGCAGUGGAAACUGAAUAGCUAGAGUGCCGUAGGGGUAGAGGGAAUUCCCGGUGUAGCGGUGAAAUGCGUAGAGAUCGGGAAGAACAUCGGUGGCGAAAGCGCUCUGCUAGACCGAAUCUGACGCUGAGGGACGAAAGCUAGGGGAGCG
This 379-nucleotide ribosomal RNA is filed under the name uncultured cyanobacterium. RNAcentral describes it as "bacterial SSU rRNA". It matches the Rfam family "Bacterial small subunit ribosomal RNA", at positions 376 to 770 of the family's 1533-position model. The record is from RNAcentral. Lineage: Bacteria; Bacillati; Cyanobacteriota.